AACGCACAUUGCGCCCGCCAGCAUCCUGGCGGGCAUGCCUGUUCGAGCGUCAUUUCAACCCUCAAGCCCCCGGGCUUGGUGUUGGGACACUACGGCCGCCGUAGGCCCCGAAAAUCAGUGGCGGUCUCGCCGGGACUCCGAGCGCAGUAGCACUACCCCGCUCGCGGCGUCCCGGCGCGGCCCCGCCAUGGAACCCCCCAGCUUCUGAAGGUUGACCUCGGAUCAGGUAGGAAUACCCGCUGAACUUAA
Molecule: unclassified non-coding RNA, 249 nt
Filed under: uncultured fungus
Lineage: Eukaryota; Fungi
Description: partial contains 5.8S ribosomal RNA, internal transcribed spacer 2, and large subunit ribosomal RNA
Source: RNAcentral